This 3390-nucleotide long non-coding RNA is filed under the name Gallus gallus (chicken). The record is from RNAcentral. Lineage: Eukaryota; Metazoa; Chordata; Aves; Galliformes; Phasianidae.
CAAGAACUGAAGCGAUGAACUUUUCCAGCCCACGUGGAUGUCCUGGAUCCCGAACCACAGCGGCUCUCCAUCCCUCGGCACCAGCUCCUUUGUGACCGUGCUCCCCCACACCACGACGUUCCUUCUGGCUCUUCUCCAAUUCCAGACUGAUUCGUGUUCACUCAUACAGCCUCUUCGACUGCAGUGCCCAGAAGUGGAGGCAAUGAGACUUAAGUGAGCAUCCUCUGCUUUUGAAAUGAAUACGUUCUCUUGAAAUCAGUCUUUGCUGAGGAAAAAAAAGACCACUUUCGAAGGAAAUGCACCAUCUGGAGAGGCUUUACUGGUACAAAAAGUUGACUUUCUGUUGCUUCAGUAUCUGACACAGUGAGAGAUGUCUCCAUGAGGUCCUCCGCACUACGAUGGCUGUUGCAGAGCGGCUGCAGCGUUGCAAUGGUGCUGAUGUCUGGGCAGACCUGAAGGUACAGCAGAUCCCACCACGUUGAGGAGAUCCAAGCUGGCCAUUGGCAUGAGUUUAAUGCAGAGGGUGAUACAGCAACAGGAAGCUCAGCACACUGCCAAAAAGAGCCCAAAGGACAUGGGGCGUUCACCCUGCAUUGACCAGGCAGCCCUGUGCUGUUCCAGCUCUCCUGUUUGGAGUGGCACUGGUGGAGUCUCCAACCAUUUGAUAGUUAAAAGGAAGUUUAGCCAACAAAAAAGCCCAAGAGAGAAACCUUUCAGUGCCUUAAAGCAGCCACAAGUGCUGCAUAUCCCAGGAGAGCUGGGCUGUAAUUCCUGCUAGCUUAGCAUCAAAGGGUGCUCCGAAACUUUACCUUCCUGGUGACGUCUCUUCUUCCCAAUGAAAGAUGACCCAGGUGACCCCUGAUUGAAUGUCUCGAUAGUCCAGAAGGCAGGGAGCAAGAUAAUUAGAGCCACCGCUCUGAUCACAGGAGGGAGGUGAAGCCCAGGUAGGGGCUGAACAAAGCUCCUUUCAAUAGCGGGUGUGACGGCGGCGAUGGUCACAGAGGGGCUGGGGAGGGGGCAGGAGAGGGCUUUAAAGGGGGUUAAGGAGCUUAUUUUUGAAUAAAGGGUGCAGGAAGCUGGUUGUUAUCAUCCCAGUGCCAUUCAGGCUGCAGGUGUGACUUAAUCUCCUGGCUGUGGGUGUCAGCAUCGUCCGGAGCUCAGCCUGCACGGGAGCGACCACGCUUCCCACACCACUGCGGCAGACCUAUGCAUCCAAACCUGUGCAUAUCACCCAAAUGAUGAGGUAUUUUAAAAGUCCACAUCUUUGGCGUUCUUUGUACCUUCACAGCAUGAAGACAUCUCAUCUCCAAGCUUUGGAGAUCCUCCUCCCAGUGCAAAGGCACGAGAUCUGUGACUCGAUGUCAAGAGAUAGCAGCAAUCCGCCCCGUGCAUCACUGUCCCAACUCCAGUUUCUCCUUGCAACCUGGCAGCCCUUCCUCCUUAAAGCUCACCAUCUUCCACCACAGUUCCUCCUACAGCUCCCACUUCUCCACCUCCCCGUAGAGCUCUCAUGGGCAGCACCGCGUAUUUCCAGUGCUGGAUCAAGGCUGCUAUUAGCCCUCACCUGGACCCUCGCUGUCUCAUUCACUCAUAUCCAACCUUUUUAGAUCCUUGUCCUGUUUCCCUCCCCCAGACAAGGAGCAUUAAGGAAAAAACGAUGAAAAGCCACAGCCAUCCAACUGAAAGCUCCCGCUUCCUCUUUGCUGCUUCUUCCCCCCCCCCCAUUUUUGCUGGAGCCCCAGGAAGCACCCACACAAGUGUAAAAUUGCUUCCAUGCCGGGCUCUGCUCACGUUAAAGCCCUCUGACUGCUGGUGCACAAGUCCCUGCACAGCACAAAUUGGACCAAUUUGGAGCGAUUAGUGAAGAAUUCACAUAUGGUGCCCAGCCAACACCGUGGACUGAUCGCCUCCUGCAGCCCAUUAAGGGCCAUUUAUUGUGAUGGGCCCAUUUGUCUUUGUUGUUAGUUCUGGCAUGGCUGGUGACAGCUCUUUGGCUGGCCACCGGGCCAACCUCUCCCUGCCAUCAUCUCGGGGGUAGGAGGGCAAAGCUGAGACACACAUUGAGGCUGACACCAGCUGAUGGAUGUCCCCAGGAGCCAUGCCAGGCUGGAGCAGCAGGAGGAACUACCAGUUGGGGUUGUGCGUUGGGUCCAGUGGCCAUGCAGGGAAUGAAGCUGUGUCUACGUACAGUGGUUGAACUGAGAUGAUGGUACCAACGAGGUGACGUGAUAGAGAACUGCCCUUCCCCUGCGACCCCAAUGCUUAAGGGCUUCCAGCAGAAAGCUUGCAUAGAAAGCUUCGUGUCUUCCAACCAUCCUUCAGCCAAAGUUGAAGCCCGUGGGCUUCGAAGGCCAAAGGAUGGAUGCUGAGGACCAACCAAAGCAGGCAGGCUGGCCGCAGGAACACACCUCCAUGCUUUCUGCAGCUCCAGAAAGAAUGGGGAAAGAAAGAAGCAGCAGAGAACGCACUGAGGAGUGCCCUUGGAACAUAUUUUACCAUGGCUGGAGUUGAGCUGUUGCCCAGAUGACCGUGAGUUCACUUCCAGUAGCAAAAAGAUGCUUUCUGCUGCCACCAUUCCUCUGGCAAAGCAAGGUGAAUAGGCCAACGUAUGUUUACAUUGGUGUAAUGAUAACCAGACUGGUGGUUAUGUGUACAUGACUACAGAGCAAAAAAAUUCAUGCCCUGUAACUGACACAGGUGUCACAGCUCAGAACCGUCAGCAGGGCCGAGCAAUUUUAGAGGGACUAAAAUGGAAAGCAAAUGGUGCCACGUGGCGCUUUGCUUUCACAGAUGAGGAUUUUGAGGAGUUUGGAAUUUGGAAUUUCUCUUUCAAAAUCGAUCCUUUCAUGGCACGAGAGCUGAGAUGGGAAGAGAACAACCAAGGGACUUUAAUAUCAUAAAUGAAAUAUUUCCAUUCUUUGAGCUAUUGUUCUGACCAAAGCACUCGCCCACAAUUACCAUAAAAGCCUGCAAUUGAGCAGAAUUUACGGUUAUUGGUUAAAAAAAAAGGGAAAAAAACCAAUUUCAGAGCAAUCUUUUUGCCUCCUUUUGGCCCAGGUCCUCUUUGAAAUGGCAUUUAUGAAGGCUGACCUGUUUUUAACCUUCCUACAAGGGAAAAAACAGAUCAACACAAUCCCCCUCCCCAGCAGUCAACUUUCCCUGGCGGAGCUGAGCCAUAUUUUAACACCUCGGUCCCUUUGACAGCACCAUCCUAUGGGCUGCCAUGCGCUGACAGCCCCCAUUGUGUCCUUCCAGGGUAAUUAAGAACUUGAUCCAGAGCUUUUAAACCUCUUGGGCUGACGGAUACCCUCUGAAGCAAGGCACUGUCACUCUUUGGGGUGCUAAAAGGUUUCUGUCCCAGGCCAAGGGGCACCGGGACACCUGGGUCCG